Molecule: non-coding RNA, 114 nt
Organism: Drosophila ananassae
Lineage: Eukaryota; Metazoa; Arthropoda; Insecta; Diptera; Drosophilidae
Source: Rfam
AGUUUACAGUAAAAUAAAUAUUUAAGUGGAGCCUGCGACUCUGCUACUGCCACUGCCACUGCCACUGCCACUGCCGCUCGGGGAGUCACUUGAGCGUUUGUUGGCACGUAAAAG